GAUGAAGAACGUAGCGAAAUGCGAUAGGUAAUGUGAAUUGCAGAAUUCAGUGAAUCAUCGAAUCUUUGAACGCACCUUGCGCCCCUUGGUUAUUCCAAAGGGCAUGCCUGUUUGAGUAUCAUGAACACCACAACUCUUGUGGUUUCCCACAAUGAGCUUGGACUGUGGAGGUUUUGUUGGCCCUGUGGUCAGCUCCUCUCAAAUGGAUCAGCUUACCGGUGUUUGGUGGCAUUACGGGUGUGAUAACUAUCUACGCUCGUGGUCGUCUCCAAAUAACCUCCAGUGAUGGAGGUUCGCUGGAGCUUAUAAAUGUCUCUCCCCAGUGAAGACAGCCUUUGAACGUUCGAUCUCAAAUCAGGUAGGACUACCCGCUGAACUUAAGCAUAUCAAUAAGCGGAGGA
This 401-nucleotide unclassified non-coding RNA is filed under the name soil metagenome. RNAcentral's name for it is "partial contains 5.8S ribosomal RNA, internal transcribed spacer 2, and large subunit ribosomal RNA". The stretch from base 1 to 121 matches the Rfam family "5.8S ribosomal RNA", at positions 35 to 154 of the family's 154-position model. The record is from RNAcentral.